UGCUGGCAUUCGCCUAUGUAUUUGCCAUA
Molecule: non-coding RNA, 29 nt
Filed under: Rattus norvegicus (Norway rat)
Lineage: Eukaryota; Metazoa; Chordata; Mammalia; Rodentia; Muridae
Source: RNAcentral